AGACACAGAAAAUUUAAAAUUUUAAAAUAUGCAAGAGUUCAUAACUCUUGCAUAUUUUAAAAUUUUAAAAUUUAAAAUUUAA
RNAcentral lists this microRNA precursor (82 nucleotides) under Daucus carota subsp. sativus. RNAcentral describes it as "sRNA DCAR_mi00238". The record is from RNAcentral. Lineage: Eukaryota; Viridiplantae; Streptophyta; Magnoliopsida; Apiales; Apiaceae.